RNAcentral lists this ribosomal RNA (464 nucleotides) under uncultured bacterium. Its description in RNAcentral is "partial 16S ribosomal RNA". It matches the Rfam family "Bacterial small subunit ribosomal RNA", at positions 30 to 507 of the family's 1533-position model. The record is from RNAcentral.
CGAACGCUGGCGGCGUGCUUACCACAUGCACGUCGAACGGAAAGGCCCUGCUUGCAGGGUCCUCGAGUGGCGAGCGGGUGAGUAACACGUGGGUGAUCUGCCCUGCACUUCGGGAUAAGCUUGGGAAACUGGGUCUAAUACCGGAUAGGAGCCAUCUUUAGUGUGGUGGUUGGAAAGUUUUUUCGGUGUAGGAUGAGCUCGCGGCCUAUCAGCUUGUUGGUGGGGUAAUGGCCUACCAAGGCGGCGACGGGUAGCCGGCCUGAGAGGGUGUACGGCCACAUUGGGACUGAGAUACGGCCCAGACUCCUACGGGAGGCAGCAGUGGGGAAUAUUGCACAAUGGGCGCAAGCCUGAUGCAGCGACGCCGCGUGGGGGAUGAAGGCCUUCGGGUUGUAAACUCCUUUCGCUAGGGACGAAGCUUUUUUGUGACGGUACCUAGAUAAGAAGCACCGGCUAACUACGUG